This 385-nucleotide RNase P RNA is filed under the name Carnobacterium divergens. Its description in RNAcentral is "RNaseP_bact_b". It matches the Rfam family "Bacterial RNase P class B". From Rfam's summary of the family: Ribonuclease P (RNase P) is a ubiquitous endoribonuclease, found in archaea, bacteria and eukarya as well as chloroplasts and mitochondria. The record is from RNAcentral. Lineage: Bacteria; Bacillati; Bacillota; Bacilli; Lactobacillales; Carnobacteriaceae.
UAAAUUUUGGGUAAUUGCGGUCUAGCUUGACUAGGCUGAGGAAAGUCCAUGCUCGCACAAGCUGAGAUGCUUGUAGUGUUCGUGCUUAGCGAAACCAUAAGCUAAGGCCUUUAUCAAAUGAUAAAGUAACGGCGGAAAAAAUGGCUAAGGUUGUAAAACUAUGCUUGAGUAUUCCUGAAAAGUGCCACAGUGACGAAGCCAUUAUGGAAACGUAAUGGGUGGAACGCGGUAAACCCCUCGAGCGAGCAACCCAAACUUUGGUAGGGGCACUCUUUCUAAGGAAAUGAACGAGAGAAAGAGGCAAGUAAUUGCAGACAGAUAAUUACCUCGGGAGUGUGCAGUCACCUGACUCGCAUUCCCUGACAGAACAUGGCUUACAGAAAUU